This 792-nucleotide ribosomal RNA is filed under the name uncultured Paracoccaceae bacterium. Its description in RNAcentral is "bacterial SSU rRNA". It matches the Rfam family "Bacterial small subunit ribosomal RNA", at positions 44 to 883 of the family's 1533-position model. The record is from RNAcentral. Lineage: Bacteria; Pseudomonadati; Pseudomonadota; Alphaproteobacteria; Rhodobacterales; Paracoccaceae.
AGGCCUAACACAUGCAAGUCGAGCGAGACCUUCGGGUCUAGCGGCGGACGGGUUAGUAACGCGUGGGAACGUACCCUUUUCUACGGAAUAGCCUUUGGAAACGAAGAGUAAUACCGUAUACGCCCUUUGGGGGAAAGAUUUAUCGGAGAAGGAUCGGCCCGCGUUAGAUUAGAUAGUUGGUGGGGUAAUGGCCUACCAAGUCUACGAUCUAUAGCUGGUUUUAGAGGAUGAUCAGCAACACUGGGACUGAGACACGGCCCAGACUCCUACGGGAGGCAGCAGUGGGGAAUCUUAGACAAUGGGCGCAAGCCUGAUCUAGCCAUGCCGCGUGAGUGAAGAAGGCCUUAGGGUCGUAAAGCUCUUUCGCCAGGGAUGAUAAUGACAGUACCUGGUAAAGAAACCCCGGCUAACUCCGUGCCAGCAGCCGCGGUAAUACGGAGGGGGUUAGCGUUGUUCGGAAUUACUGGGCGUAAAGCGCACGUAGGCGGAUUAGAAAGUUAGAGGUGAAAUCCCAGGGCUCAACCCUGGAACUGCCUUUAAAACUCCUAGUCUUGAGUUCGAGAGAGGUGAGUGGAAUUCCAAGUGUAGAGGUGAAAUUCGUAGAUAUUUGGAGGAACACCAGUGGCGAAGGCGGCUCACUGGCUCGAUACUGACGCUGAGGUGCGAAAGUGUGGGGAGCAAACAGGAUUAGAUACCCUGGUAGUCCACACCGUAAACGAUGAAUGCCAGUCGUCGGGUAGUAUACUAUUCGGUGACACACCUAACGGAUUAAGCAUUCCGCCUGGGGAGUAC